This 148-nucleotide non-coding RNA is filed under the name Chlorocebus sabaeus (green monkey). The record is from Rfam by way of RNAcentral. Lineage: Eukaryota; Metazoa; Chordata; Mammalia; Primates; Cercopithecidae.
GCCAGGUGUGGUGGCGGGCACCUGUAAUCCCAGCUACUUGGGAGGCUGAGGCAGGAGAAUCACUUGAACCCAGGAGGCAGAGGUUGCAGUGAGCCGAGAUUGCACUAUUGCACUCCAGCCUGGGUGACAGAGUGAGAUUCUGUCUCAA